GACGAACGCUGGCGGCGUGCCUAAUACAUGCAAGUAGAACGCUGAAGGAGGAGCUUGCUUCUCUGGAUGAGUUGCGAACGGGUGAGUAACGCGUAGGUAACCUGCCUGGUAGCGGGGGAUAACUAUUGGAAACGAUAGCUAAUACCGCAUAAUAGCAGUUGUUGCAUGACAACUGUUUGAAAGGUGCAAUUGCACCACUACCAGAUGGACCUGCGUUGUAUUAGCUAGUUGGUGGGGUAACGGCUCACCAGGGCGACGAUACAUAGCCGACCUGAGAGGGUGAUCGGCCACACUGGGACUGAGACACGGCCCAGACUCCUACGGGAGGCAGCAGUAGGGAAUCUUCGGCAAUGGACGGAAGUCUGACCGAGCAACGCCGCGUGAGUGAAGAAGGUUUUCGGAUCGUAAAGCUCUGUUGUAAGAGAUGAACGAGUGUGAGAGUGGAAAGUUCACACUGUGACGGUAUCUUACCAGAAAGGGACGGCUAACUACGUG
RNAcentral lists this ribosomal RNA (495 nucleotides) under uncultured bacterium. RNAcentral describes it as "partial 16S ribosomal RNA". It matches the Rfam family "Bacterial small subunit ribosomal RNA", at positions 28 to 507 of the family's 1533-position model. The record is from RNAcentral.